AUGGCGAAGUUGUACGUGCAGGCGGUGCCCCCGCUGGAUCUGAAUAAGAACACCGAGUGGUUCAUGUACCUGGGGGUCUGGACCACCCACAUCUUCAUCCUCUUCAUCUCCUGGCUCCUCAUCCUCUACAUCUUCGGCUGCACCCCCGGCAUGGCCUGGACGCUCGUUAACCUCGUCCACUUCGCGAUUACAUACCACUUCUUCCACUGGAAGAAGGGAACUCCAUUCGCUGAUGAUCAGGGGAUGUAUAAUAGGUUGACUUGGUGGGAGCAAAUGGACAACGGCAAGCAGCUUACUCGCAACAGAAAAUUUCUUGUUGUGGUUCCUGUAGUCCUCUAA
This 339-nucleotide ribosomal RNA is filed under the name Triticum aestivum (bread wheat). RNAcentral describes it as "partial small subunit ribosomal RNA". The record is from RNAcentral. Lineage: Eukaryota; Viridiplantae; Streptophyta; Magnoliopsida; Poales; Poaceae.